Molecule: ribosomal RNA, 570 nt
Filed under: Xylariaceae sp. CHTAR51
Lineage: Eukaryota; Fungi; Ascomycota; Sordariomycetes; Xylariales; Xylariaceae
Description: eukaryotic LSU rRNA
Rfam family: Eukaryotic large subunit ribosomal RNA
Source: RNAcentral
AGCAAAAGAAACCAACAGGGAUUGCCCUAGUAACGGCGAGUGAAGCGGCAACAGCUCAAAUUUGAAAUCUGGCCCUCGGGUCCGAGUUGUAAUUUGCAGAGGAUGCUUUUGGCGCGGUGCCUUCCGAGUUCCCUGGAACGGGACGCCUUAGAGGGUGAGAGCCCCGUACGGUUGGACACCAAGCCUCUGUAAAGCUCCUUCGACGAGUCGAGUAGUUUGGGAAUGCUGCUCUAAAUGGGAGGUAAAUUUCUUCUAAAGCUAAAUACCGGCCAGAGACCGAUAGCGCACAAGUAGAGUGAUCGAAAGAUGAAAAGCACUUUGAAAAGAGGGUUAAAUAGCACGUGAAAUUGUUGAAAGGGAAGCGUUUACGGCCAGACCUUUUCCUGGCGGAUCAUCUGGUGUUCUCACCAGUGCACUCCGCCAGGUUUAGGCCAGCAUCGGCUCCCGUAGGGGGAUAAAAGCAGUGGGAAAGUAGCUCCCUCGGGAGUGUUAUAGCCCGCUGCACAAUACCCUUACAGGGGCCGAGGACCGCGCUCUUGCAAGGAUGCUGGCGUAAUGGUCGUCAACGAC